UCUUGAUCAGGCUUGAGUUCUAGAAAAUUCAUGGUGGCUGCACUGAAAGAGUGACACAGAAAGGAGUGAAACUAUUUGUAAAAUUCAGUGGGAAGGCUUUUAGUGGCCUGGGUGAGACUGAUGGUGAUACGCACAGAAUGAGAAGAAUUAUGCCAGAUUUGAUUUUUUUUUUUUUUUUAAUAUUAAUAGGAACUCUCAAAGAGACAGAAAUGACCUCUAAGAAGCUCUGUUAAAGGUGGGGAAUUUUUUGGCUCCUGUAACCAAAUCAUGGAAAUGCAAGGAAGCCGCUGGCCCUGCCACAGCUGGUUUGGGGAAUGGCAUCCUGCCAUCUCUUUCUAUUUUUAUUCUUAUCUCUGGAAGUUAGCUGUUCACUCUUUCAGGCCUGGUUACAUGACCUGUUGGUGGCUCUGAAAUCAUGUCUUUGCAGUGUCUGAUGAAACCAAGGAGUCCUGCUCUCUGUGAUUCAGAACAGCUUCAAAAUGUAGGGGCCCAGGAAAACCUGUUAUUGGCCAGGCUUGGAUCAUAUGCUUACACCUGGGUUCAUCUCUGGAUGCAACGGGAGAAGUACUGUGUCUAAGGGAUGUGCUCUCAUCAGUGGUUAAGGAGGCUUUGGUGACAGUACGAAUGGGCAGCAAAAUGCCAAAUGCAAGUGGCCAGAGGAAGAGCAGCAACCUGGACAUUCAACUUCUGGAAAAAUGAAAAUUCACUAGAGUCUCCUCUCAUUUCAGAGAGCAGAAGCUGCCUGGUUUCUAAACUUGGAAGUUCUGAGUCUCAAAUGCCAGGUAUCAGGAAUAAUCCCCAGCAGAUGUGGAAGAGAGAGACCAGAUUCCUGUCUGCAUUUCAUUUGAAGCUGGUGUUCUUUCCAGGUAGGAUUCUCCAACCUUAGCCCAAAAUAUCUUCCAAAAAAUUUAAAUGAUGAAUUUCUACAUUAUCACUUACAGAAAAUAAUUCAAAGAAAUGUAAUUACAUUUCCUUCUCCCUCCCCCUUUAUUCUGUGAGAUUUGGACUAAAUUGAGGCAAAAAGAUGAGCAGAGGGAAAAAUAAAUGUGAGCCAAGUGACUUCA
This 1064-nucleotide long non-coding RNA is filed under the name Bos indicus x Bos taurus (hybrid cattle). RNAcentral's name for it is "lncRNA (ENSBIXG00000001857.1)". Lineage: Eukaryota; Metazoa; Chordata; Mammalia; Artiodactyla; Bovidae. The record is from RNAcentral.